Molecule: ribosomal RNA, 468 nt
Filed under: uncultured bacterium
Lineage: Bacteria
Description: partial 16S ribosomal RNA
Rfam family: Bacterial small subunit ribosomal RNA
Source: RNAcentral
GACGAACGCUGGCGGCGUGCUUAACACAUGCAAGUCGAACGGAAAGGCCCUGCGUUUGUGGGGUGCUCGAGUGGCGAACGGGUGAGUAACACGUGAGUAACCUGCCCUUGACUUUGGGAUAACUUCAGGAAACUGGGGCUAAUACCGGAUAGGAGCUCCUGCUGCAUGGUGGGGGUUGGAAAGUUUCGGCGGUUGGGGAUGGAUUCGCGGCUUAUCAGCUGGUUGGUGUGGUAGUGGCUUACCAAGGCUUUGACGGGUAGCCGGCCUGAGAGGGUGACCGGCCACCUUGGGACUAAGAGACGGACCAGACGGCUACGGGAGGCAGCAGGCGGGAGUAUUGCACAACGGGCGGAAGCCUGAUGCAGCAGCGCCGCGUGCGGGAUGACGGCCUUCGGGUUGUAAACCGAUUUGGCCUGUGACGAAGCGGGAGUGACGGUAAUGGGUAAGAAAGCACCGGCUAACUACGUG